UUCCAGACUCCUACGGGAGGCAGCAGUGGGGAAUAUUGCACAAUGGGGGGAACCCUGAUGCAGCAAUGCCGCGUGGGUGAAGAAGCACUCCGGUGCGUAAAGCCCUGUCAGCAGGGAAGAAAAUGACAGUACCUGGACAAGAAGCCCCGGCUAACUACGUGCCAGCAGCCGCGGUAAUACGUAGGGGGCAAGCGUUAUCCGGAUUUACUGGGUGUAAAGGGAGCGUAGGCGGUAAUGCAAGUCAGAAGUGAAAGCCCGGGGCUCAACUCCGGGACUGCUUUUGAAACUGUGUUGCUAGAUUGCAGGAGAGGUAAGUGGAAUUCCUAGUGUAGCGGUGAAAUGCGUAGAUAUUAGGAGGAACACCAGUGGCGAAGGCGGCUUACUGGACUGUAAAUGACGCUGAGGCUCGAAAGCGUGGGGAGCAAACAGGAUUAGAUACCCCUGUA
RNAcentral lists this ribosomal RNA (446 nucleotides) under uncultured bacterium. RNAcentral's name for it is "bacterial SSU rRNA". It matches the Rfam family "Bacterial small subunit ribosomal RNA", at positions 329 to 792 of the family's 1533-position model. The record is from RNAcentral.